UACAGAGGGGGCAAGCGUUGUUCGGAAUUACUGGGCGUAAAGGGCGCGUAGGCGGCCUGUUAAGUCGAACGUGAAAUCCCCGGGCUCAACCCGGGAACUGCGUCCGAUACUGGCAGGCUUGAAUCCGGGAGAGGGAUGCAGAAUUCCAGGUGUAGCGGUGAAAUGCGUAGAUAUCUGGAGGAAUACCGGUGGCGAAGGCGGCAUCCUGGACCGGCAUUGACGCUGAUGAGCGAAAGCGUGGGGAGCGAACAGG
This 253-nucleotide ribosomal RNA is filed under the name uncultured bacterium. Its description in RNAcentral is "partial 16S ribosomal RNA". It matches the Rfam family "Bacterial small subunit ribosomal RNA", at positions 524 to 776 of the family's 1533-position model. The record is from RNAcentral.